UAGUCCACGCCCUAAACGAUGUAUGCUUGGUGUUGGGCCCAUUAGGGUUCAGUGCCGCAGGGAAUCUGUUAAGCAUACCACCUGGGGAGUACGAUCGCAAGGUUGAAACUCAAAGGAAUUGACGGGGGCCCGCACAAGCGGUGGAUCAUGUGGUUUAAUUCGAUGCAACGCGAAGAACCUUACCCAGGCUUGAAGUGUAAGAAGUACAGAGAUGAAAGUCGACGGACCCGUCAAAUCGGGAGCUUACAGAGGUGCUGCAUGGUUGUCGUCAGCUCGUGCCGUGAGGUGUUGGGUUAAGUCCCGCAACGAGCGCAACCCUUGUCCUUAGUUGCCAGCACGUAAUGGUGGGAACUCUAAGGAGACUGCCGGUGAUAAACCGGGAGGAAGGUGGGGAUGACGUCAAGUCAUCAUGGCCCUUAUGGGGCUGGGGCUACACACGUGCUACAAUGGUCGGUACAGAGGGGUCGCAAU
Molecule: ribosomal RNA, 471 nt
Filed under: uncultured bacterium
Lineage: Bacteria
Description: bacterial SSU rRNA
Rfam family: Bacterial small subunit ribosomal RNA
Source: RNAcentral